GACACAUGGGGACACUGUGAGAAAUAGGGACAUUGGGAGACAUUGGGACACGGAGACACUAUGACCCAUUUCUCCCAGUGUCCCACAUCCAGUGUCACUAGUGUCUCAGUGUCCCCAAGUCUCCCAGUGUCUGUGUUCCUAGUGUCUCAGUGUGCCU
This is a non-coding RNA of Pelobates cultripes (western spadefoot toad), 157 nucleotides long. NCBI's taxonomy places the organism in Eukaryota, Metazoa, Chordata, Amphibia, Anura, Pelobatidae. The record is from the annotation of a GenBank genome assembly.